Homarus americanus (American lobster) is the source of this 386-nucleotide long non-coding RNA. RefSeq lists it as uncharacterized. The record is from RefSeq and is a predicted model, not a curated record. The transcript has 3 exons. NCBI's taxonomy places the organism in Eukaryota, Metazoa, Arthropoda, Malacostraca, Decapoda, Nephropidae.
UACAGCUUCAAUCACCCGCAGCUUCAAUCACCUGCACCUUCACACACCUGCAGCUUCACACACCUGCCUACGACAUCUUACCCCAAGUGAAGUGUGGCUUAUGGCUGGUACCCUGAUGAUGUGUGGGUGAUGUCAACAAACAGUGUCUAAAUCCUAAGCUUCAAGACUUAGCUUAAGACAGUGGAAAUUAUUACAUCAACUGUGUCGUCUUGCAAUUUCCAACACCUGCCCGGUACCUCUUAUGGUUGAUGUGAGGGUGAGUGGACCUACAGGCCACACGGACCACGACUCACGGACUACUAAAACUACCACCAAUAACGGACAACCGUCAGAAAUACACAACACCACCAAUCACUGUGGGACAGUGUGUGUUACUGAGGGAUGUG